UGAGUAACCUGCCCUUAACUCUGGGAUAAGCCUGGGAAACUGGGUCUAAUACCGGAUAUGACUCCUCAUCGCAUGGUGGGGGGUGGAAAGCUUUUUGUGGUUUUGGAUGGACUCGCUGCCUAUCAGCUUGUUGGUGAGGUAAUGGCUCACCAAGGCGAUGACGGGUAGCCGGCCUGAGAGGGUGACCGGCCACACUGGACUGAGACACGGCCCAGACCUCCGUACGGGAGCAG
RNAcentral lists this ribosomal RNA (233 nucleotides) under uncultured bacterium. RNAcentral's name for it is "partial 16S ribosomal RNA". It matches the Rfam family "Bacterial small subunit ribosomal RNA", at positions 118 to 347 of the family's 1533-position model. The record is from RNAcentral.